Molecule: ribosomal RNA, 253 nt
Filed under: uncultured bacterium
Lineage: Bacteria
Description: partial 16S ribosomal RNA
Rfam family: Bacterial small subunit ribosomal RNA
Source: RNAcentral
AACGUAGGGGACAAGCGUUAUCCGGAUUUACUGGGCGUAAAGCGCCCGUAGGCGGCCUGACAAGUUGGACGUGAAAGCUCCUGGCUUAACUGGGAGAGGCCGUUCAAAACUGUCAAGCUAGAGUCUGGAAGAGGAGAGCGGAAUUCCCGGUGUAGUGGUGGAAUGCGUAGAGAUCGGGAGGAACACCAGUGGCGAAAGCGGCUCUCUGGGACGGUACUGACGCUGAGACGCGAAAGCGUGGGGAGCGAACAGG